GGCCUUUUUUUUUGCCUGGGGUCACGUAGCGGCGCACGGGUGAGUAACACGUGAGCAACCUUGCCCCUGACUCCGGGAUAAGCGGUGGAAACGCCGUCUAAUACCGGAUACGACCCUCCUCCGCAUGGUGGGGGGUGGAAAGUUUUUUCGGUCGGGGAUGGGCUCGCGGCCUAUCAGCUUGUUGGUGGGGUAACGGCCUACCAAGGCGAUUACGGGUAGCCGGCCUGAGAGGGCGACCGGCCACACUGGGACUGAGACACGGCCCAGACUCCUGCGGGAGGCAGCAGUGGGGAAUAUUGCGCAAUGGGCGAAAGCCUGACGCAGCGACGCCGCGUGGGGGAUGACGGCCUUCGGGUUGUAAACCUCUUUUACCACUCACGCAGGCCCCGGGUUUUCCCGGGGUUGACGGUAGGUGGGGAAUAAGGACCGGCUAACUACGUGCCAGCAGCCGCGGUAAUACGUAGGGUCCGAGCGUUGUCCGGAAUUAUUGGGCGUAAAGAGCUCGUAGGCGGCGUGUCGCGUCUGCUGUGAAAGACCGGGGCUUAACCCCGGUUCUGCAGUGGAUACGGGCAUGCUAGAGGUAGGUAGGGGAGACUGGAAUUCCUGGUGUAGCGGUGAAAUGCGCAGAUAUCAGGAGGAACACCGGUGGCGAAGGCGGGUCUCUGGGCCUUACCUGACGCUGAGGAGCGAAAGCAUGGGGAGCGAACAGGAUUAGAUACCCUGGUAGUCCAUGCCGUAAACGUUGGGCGCUAGGUGUGGGGACUUUCCACGGUUUCCGCGCCGUAGCUAACGCAUUAAGCGCCCCGCCUGGGGAGUACGGCCGCAAGGCUAAAACUCAAGGAAUUUGACGGGGGCCCGCACAAGCCGGCGGGAAGCAUGGUGCUAUUCGACGCAUCGCCGAGAAACCUUUAACCAAGGGUUUUGGACAUCCACCCGCGUGUGGAACCCGUGUGAUA
Molecule: ribosomal RNA, 956 nt
Filed under: Nocardiopsis sp.
Lineage: Bacteria; Bacillati; Actinomycetota; Actinomycetes; Streptosporangiales; Nocardiopsidaceae
Description: bacterial SSU rRNA
Rfam family: Bacterial small subunit ribosomal RNA
Source: RNAcentral